Molecule: small nucleolar RNA, 82 nt
Filed under: Pogona vitticeps (central bearded dragon)
Lineage: Eukaryota; Metazoa; Chordata; Lepidosauria; Squamata; Agamidae
Description: Small nucleolar RNA R38 (ENSPVIG00000009507.1)
Rfam family: Small nucleolar RNA R38
About the family: snoR38 is a C/D box small nucleolar RNA conserved across yeast, human, Arabidopsis and rice.
Source: Rfam by way of RNAcentral
CUGAGCAUGUGAUGAUACAGUUAUCCCUGUCUGAAAAGGAGAAACCUUCUUUUUGUAGAGUUAUGUAGAUUCUGAAGCUCAG